AUGAGAGUGCUUUUUAUGUCCACUGCCAGUGAAGCACCCUGUGCCAAGCUGGGCCAUUAUAUGCAAAACCAUGCCCAAAUAAUUGAUCCCCUGCCAUCCAAAUUGCAGAAGUGCUUGAGCAUUUUGUAAUCUUACAGCAAAGGUUUGUAUUCAGAGUGUUUUGAAUGUAUAUUAAAAUAAACUUGACAAUGGGAUACGAAGGCA
Molecule: long non-coding RNA, 204 nt
Filed under: Anas platyrhynchos platyrhynchos (common mallard)
Lineage: Eukaryota; Metazoa; Chordata; Aves; Anseriformes; Anatidae
Description: lncRNA (ENSAPLG00000026051.1)
Source: RNAcentral